Molecule: transfer RNA, 72 nt
Filed under: Enterococcus faecium
Lineage: Bacteria; Bacillati; Bacillota; Bacilli; Lactobacillales; Enterococcaceae
Also listed under: 4 other names
Description: tRNA-Glu
Rfam family: tRNA
About the family: Transfer RNA (tRNA) molecules are approximately 80 nucleotides in length.
Source: RNAcentral
GGUCCGUUGGUCAAGCGGUUAAGACACCGCCCUUUCACGGCGGUAACACGGGUUCGAAUCCCGUACGGGUCA